AUGCCCCAGUUUAACUGUCUUGCUGAUUCUCAUGAUACAGCUGAAUGAGCUCCUCUUUGUGCUCAAGAAGGCGGGUAAUCUCGUCAGGAAUCCCCUUCAACAUCAUCUUCUUCUGCCUCAAAUACAAGGAAUUCAAGAUUGGGAGAUGGCGUUGGAUCAUUAUGUUCAAUGGGUUUAGAAAUCCCUGCAUAAUGAUUCUGGAUAAUGAAAAGCUUUUGAUAUUU
Molecule: long non-coding RNA, 224 nt
Filed under: Lathyrus oleraceus (garden pea)
Lineage: Eukaryota; Viridiplantae; Streptophyta; Magnoliopsida; Fabales; Fabaceae
Description: Pisum sativum (pea) long non-coding RNA (PSAT_LNC041457)
Source: RNAcentral